UACGUAGGCAGCAAGCGUUGUUCGGAAUUACUGGGCGUAAAGAGUGUGUAGGCGGCACGUCAAGUCGCGUGUGAAAUCCCCAGGCUUAACCUGGGAAGUGCGCGCGAAACUGACGAGCUUGAGUGCCGGAGAGGGUCGCGGAAUUCCCGGUGUAGAGGUGAAAUUCGUAGAUAUCGGGAGGAACACCAGUGGCGAAGGCGGCGACCUGGACGGACACUGACGCUGAGACGGCGAAAAGCGUGGGGAGCAAACAGG
Molecule: ribosomal RNA, 255 nt
Filed under: uncultured bacterium
Lineage: Bacteria
Description: partial 16S ribosomal RNA
Rfam family: Bacterial small subunit ribosomal RNA
Source: RNAcentral